CAAUCGGCUCUUUUCAGAGCCACCCACCACUUUCGCAAAAGAGUAU
Molecule: non-coding RNA, 46 nt
Organism: Anopheles maculatus
Lineage: Eukaryota; Metazoa; Arthropoda; Insecta; Diptera; Culicidae
Source: Rfam